UACGUAGGGUGCGAGCGUUAAUCGGAAUUACUGGGCGUAAAGCGUGCGUAGGCGGUUCUCCAAGUCCGUUGUGAAAGCCCCGGGCUCAACCUGGGAAUGGCAGUGGAAACUAGGGGACUGGAAUCUGGCAGAGGGGGGUGGAAUGCCGCGUGUAGCAGUGAAAUGCGUAGAGAUGCGGCGGAACACCGAUGGCGAAGGCAGCCCCCUGGGCUGAGAUUGACGCUCAGGCACGAAAGCGUGGGGAGCGAACAGG
Molecule: ribosomal RNA, 253 nt
Filed under: uncultured bacterium
Lineage: Bacteria
Description: partial 16S ribosomal RNA
Rfam family: Bacterial small subunit ribosomal RNA
Source: RNAcentral